AAUCCAUAGGUUAAUGAGGCGAACCGGGGGAACUGAAACAUCUAAGUACCCCGAGGAAAAGAAAUCAACCGAGAUUCCCCCAGUAGCGGCGAGCGAACGGGGAGGAGCCCAGAGCCUGAAUCAGCAUGUGUGUUAGUGGAAGCGUCUGGAAAGGCGCGCGAUACAGGGUGACAGCCCCGUACACAAAAGCGCAUGUGCUGUGAGCUCGAUGAGUAGGGCGGGACACGUGGUAUCCUGUCUGAAUAUGGGGGGACCAUCCUCCAAGGCUAAAUACUCCUGACUGACCGAUAGUGAACCAGUACCGUGAGGGAAAGGCGAAAAGAACCCCGGCGAGGGGAGUGAAAAAGAACCUGAAACCGUGUACGUACAAGCAGUGGGAGCACAGGUUUACCUGUGUGACUGCGUACCUUUUGUAUAAUGGGUCAGCGACUUAUAUUCUGUAGCAAGGUUAACCGUAUAGGGGAGCCGUAGGGAAACCGAGUCUUAACCGGGCGUUAAGUUGCAGGGUAUAGACCCGAAACCCGGUGAUCUAGCCAUGGGCAGGUUGAAGGUUGGGUAACACUAACUGGAGGACCGAACCGACUAAUGUUGAAAAAUUAGCGGAUGACCUGUGGCUGGGGGUGAAAGGCCAAUCAAACCGGGAGAUAGCUGGUUCUCCCCGAAAGCUAUUUAGGUAGCGCCUCGUGAAUUCAUCUCCGGGGGUAGAGCACUGUUUCGGCUAGGGGGCCAUCCCGGCUUACCAACCCGAUGCAAACUGCGAAUACCGGAGAAUGUUAUCACGGGAGACACACGGCGGGUGCUAACGUCCGUCGUGAAGAGGGAAACAACCCAGACCGCCAGCUAAGGUCCCAAAGUCAUGGUUAAGUGGGAAACGAUGUGGGAAGGCCCAGACAGCCAGGAUGUUGGCUUAGAAGCAGCCAUCAUUUAAAGAAAGCGUAAUAGCUCACUGGUCGAGUCGGCCUGCGCGGAAGAUGUAACGGGGCUAAACCAUGCACCGAAGCUGCGGCAGCGACACUCAGGUGUUGUUGGGUAGGGGAGCGUUCUGUAAGCCUGUGAAGGUGUGUCGUGAGGC
RNAcentral lists this ribosomal RNA (1072 nucleotides) under Salmonella enterica subsp. enterica. RNAcentral describes it as "partial 23S ribosomal RNA". It matches the Rfam family "Bacterial large subunit ribosomal RNA", at positions 161 to 1269 of the family's 2925-position model. Lineage: Bacteria; Pseudomonadati; Pseudomonadota; Gammaproteobacteria; Enterobacterales; Enterobacteriaceae. The record is from RNAcentral.